RNAcentral lists this ribosomal RNA (263 nucleotides) under uncultured bacterium. Its description in RNAcentral is "partial 16S ribosomal RNA". It matches the Rfam family "Bacterial small subunit ribosomal RNA", at positions 524 to 784 of the family's 1533-position model. The record is from RNAcentral.
UACGUAGGGUGCGAGCGUUAAUCGGAAUUACUGGGCGUAAAGCGUGCGCAGGCGGUUUUGUAAGCCAGAUGUGAAAUCCCCGGGCUCAACCUGGGAAUGGCAUUUGGGACUGCAAGGCUGGAGUGCGGCAGAGGAGACUGGAAUUCCUGGUGUAGCAGUGAAAUGCGUAGAUAUCAGGAGGAAUACCGAUGGCGAAGGCAGGUCUCUGGCUGGACACUGACGCUCAUGCCACGAAAGCGUGGGGGAGCAAACAGGAUUGAGAA